UACAUGGGGUGCAAACGUUGCUCGGAAUUACUGGGCGUAAAGCGCACGUAGGCGGCUUUCUAAGUCAGGGGUGAAAUCCUGGAGCUCAACUCCAGAACUGCCUUUGAUACUGAAGAUCUUGAGUUCGGGAGAGGUGAGUGGAACUGCGAGUGUAGAGGUGAAAUUCGUAGAUAUUCGCAAGAACACCAGUGGCGAAGGCGGCUCACUGGCCCGAUACUGACGCUGAUGCACGAAAGCGUGGGGAGCAAACAGG
This 253-nucleotide ribosomal RNA is filed under the name uncultured bacterium. RNAcentral's name for it is "partial 16S ribosomal RNA". It matches the Rfam family "Bacterial small subunit ribosomal RNA", at positions 524 to 776 of the family's 1533-position model. The record is from RNAcentral.